AGCGAACGCUGGCGGCAGGCUUAACACAUGCAAGUCGAACGGUCCUUCGGGAUAGUGGCGGACGGGUGAGUAACACGUGGGAACGUACCCUUAGGUUCGGAACAACACAGGGAAACUUGUGCUAAUACCGGACAAGCCCUUCGGGGGAAAGAUUUAUCGCCUUUGGAGCGGCCCGCGUCUGAUUAGCUUGUUGGUGUGGUAAUGGCUCACCAAGGCUACGAUCAGUAGCUGGUCUGAGAGGAUGGCCAGCCACACUGGGACUGAGACACGGCCCAGACUCCUACGGGAGGCAGCAGUGGGGAAUCUUGCGCAAUGGGCGAAAGCCUGACGCAGCCAUGCCGCGUGGAUGAUGAAGGUCUUAGGAUUGUAAAAUCCUUUCACCGGGGACGAUAAUGACGGUACCCGGAGAAGAAGCCCCGGCUAACUUCGUGCCAGCAGCCGCCGCGG
Molecule: ribosomal RNA, 447 nt
Filed under: uncultured bacterium
Lineage: Bacteria
Description: partial 16S ribosomal RNA
Rfam family: Bacterial small subunit ribosomal RNA
Source: RNAcentral